UACGUAGGGUGCGAGCGUUAAUCGGAAUAACUGGGCGUAAAGGGUGCGCAGGCGGUUGCCUAAGUCUGACGUGAAAGUCCCGGGCUUAACCUGGGGAUGGCGUUGGAGACUGGGUAGCUAGAGUGUGUGAGAGGGGGGUCGAAUUCCACGUGUAGCAGUGAAAUGCGUAGAGAUGUGGAGGAACACCGAUGGCGAAGGCAGCCCCCUGGGAUAACACUGACGCUCAGGCACGAAAGCGUGGGGAGCAAACAGG
This 253-nucleotide ribosomal RNA is filed under the name uncultured bacterium. Its description in RNAcentral is "partial 16S ribosomal RNA". It matches the Rfam family "Bacterial small subunit ribosomal RNA", at positions 524 to 776 of the family's 1533-position model. The record is from RNAcentral.